This 2480-nucleotide long non-coding RNA is filed under the name Mytilus galloprovincialis (Mediterranean mussel). The record is from RNAcentral. Lineage: Eukaryota; Metazoa; Mollusca; Bivalvia; Mytilida; Mytilidae.
GUCACACUAUUAUCAUAUAUUUGACUUUUUUAUAAGGCUGUGCAACAUCCAUGCUUAUUUACAAUAGUCUGGUAUCUGAAAAGGUUCACCUUGCAGUCUAGCAGAGAUAACUGUAUGUUCCGUUAUUUUACUUAGGUAUAUUACUAUUUCAGAAGCUGUAGAGGUUAGUGAUGAUGAAACUGGGUCAUCUUAUGACAGAUAUCACCGCAUGAUAAAGCAAGAGAUGGACCAAAUGGAAUGAUGAUAUGGAAUAAUAAGACUGGAUACACAGAAAUUACCUCAUAAUUGAACAACAGAUGUUUUAAGAACAAGCUUAAAUACCAAAUCUGUUACUUAUCAUCUGUAUAAAUACCAUAUGAAUAAGGAAAAGUUAUCGAUAUCCUAAUGUCUUUGUUAAAAAUAGUACUGAUAAUUAAUAUAUAACGAGAUCUUAAGUGUCAAUCUUUGUUAGAAUCAGACAAACAUCAAAACAUCUCCGUUUCUGACAGGGCUGCCAAGUCUCACGCUAAAUUGCCAAGUCUUACGCAUGUUCAUGAUUUUUUUGUGGCAUUUUCCAUUGAUCUAUUGUAUUUUCUCUUUGAUCUUUUCUAUUUUGGCCAAAUGUCACACAUUUCCUUCAUGAAAAGUUGGCAGAACUGUUCUGACUGUCUAGUAUUUUGAGAAAUCUAUUGAUAACUGUUGGUUAGAAUGAUAGUAAGGAGUUACCUCCCCAUUAAUUGUAAAUUUCUAGUGCAUUUCAUCCAAGUUAUAUCUUGUAAUACCAGAACAGGAAUAGGAAACAAAUGUUUUAAACAUACAUUAAUGUAAACUUGAGAUGGUUUUUGUUAGUCAUGUUUUCAUCACUGCCUGAUUGUUAGGCAGAUUGGCACUUAAUUAUACCAAUGCAAUGCAAUUGAUAAAAUAAAAAUAAAAACAAUUGAAAUUUUUAGAGGAGUGUGAACAAGAUAUAUACUUCUGUAUGGAUAUAAAAGCAAGAAAUUUUUGUGUUCAGUAUUGUGCAAUAUAAACUUCAAAAUAUGAAGAUGUGUUUUAGAAAGUAGAAAUCUGAUCUCUGUAGUCAGUAAGGCAAUUGGUACAAAAAUAUCAAAACAUGUUCCAAUCCAAAUAUUAUCUGCACUUCAUCUUGCAAACUUGACUAAUUUACUUGCUCAGACAUUCAUUUAUCAAAUAGCGCUGUUUAGAUUACAAGAUGUAUCAAGUUUAUAUUUUAUAUGCCAAAGUUUUAACUCAGACUUAUGUUGGUAAUAGUGAUUACAUAUAUACAUUGUAGAUUUAUACAUCUUAAGUCAUGACUUUGAAAAAAGAAAAUGUUCAUCAGAAAAGCUUUUAUACAUUAAGGUUUUGUCAACAUCAGAUUUAAGUUUAUAUAUUUGAAUUUUAGCCAAAAAGUAAUAUCUUUUAAAGAAAAAAAUGAUAUUAAUUUUGGUAAUAAGUAUAGAUUAUAACAUGCCCUUUUCCAUAUUGGCCUGCUAUCAUCCCGAGACUCCAUAUCGGCCUCGAGGCUUUAGCGAGGGAUAUUGCUCGAGGAUGAUACCGGCGCCAAUAUGGAAGACAUGUGUAUAACUUUUAUAAUAUUUAAGUUCUGCAGAAAAGAAAAAAAACGUAAUAUUUAUCUAUUUAUGAUACAUAAAAGGUAAAAUCUUAAGCAAAUUAUCCAAACGUGUUGUUAAGAUGCAAUGACGUACAUCAUUAGAAACAGGCACAAUAUGGAUAUGUUUUUUGCCCGCAUUUUGAGGUUAUUGCAUAUGCAAAACUAAUGUAUUCAUAACAAAUAUGUGAUAAAUACACAACUUUAUUACAGUAAUAUAAUAUUUAGAAGAUGAUGUGUUUUAUUUCCUAUUAAACAAUUGUAAUGUAUUCAUUAAGAUAAUACCAAACAUCUGGUCUAAAAUUAAUUAGCUUGUUUAAUUUUCACAAAAAAAUGAAAAUUGCAAUAAACAUGUACCACACACUUUAUUGAACAAAUUUCAUUGGAUGAACAAGAGUUUGACAAACACUUAUUUUGAUCACUGAGAAGCUUUUAAAAGAUUUACUUAACAAUAGAACUUAAUCAAAAUGUCAAGCUGAAUUUUACAGAGUUAUCUCCCUGUAGUUUUAUGUACAAAAGGAUGAAGAUUUUAACAAUUACAGGUGUAUUCAACAAUAGGCAAGAUUCAUCAAUCAUAGUUUAUGAAAGAAACAAAGAUGGUACAUAAAUUUCAUGAGCAAUUAUUUUUUUAAUUUGAUUUUUAAAUCAGUUGAAUGAUCUCAGACGAGAAAUGACAAAUUCUUAUAUCUUAUGAGUUAAAGUGCUAGAAAUAUCUACGAAGAAAGAGAAACACAUCUGGAUAUUCAUCCAAGCUUCUGUCUUUGUGUAAUAAUUGUUGUUUUACUAUAAGGGAUUUUUACUUUUUAUUCACUAAGUGAAAUAAAAUAAUAUAUUGAACUUUAAAAUUACUAUGUAAUGAAAUAACUUGUCAAUAAAAUUAUUUCAUAUUUUA